Molecule: ribosomal RNA, 447 nt
Filed under: uncultured bacterium
Lineage: Bacteria
Description: bacterial SSU rRNA
Rfam family: Bacterial small subunit ribosomal RNA
Source: RNAcentral
GGUUAAUGCUAGCGGUGCGCCUAACACAUGCAAGUCGAGCGAGAAUUUAGUAGCUUGCUACUGGAGGAAAGCGGCGAACGGGUGAGUAAAAUGUUGGAACCUACCUUUAAGUCAGGGAUAGCCCAUUGAAAAAUGGAUUAAUACCGGAUGUGCUCUAAGGAGUAAAGAUUUAUCGCUUAAAGAGGGGCCUGCAAUCUAUCAGUUAGUUGGUGGGGUAAAGGCUUACCAAGACAAUGACGGAUAGCUGAUCUGAGAGGAUGAUCAGCCACAAUGGAACUGAGACACGGUCCAUACUCCUACGGGAGGCAGCAGUGAGGGAUCUUCCACAAUGGGCGAAAGCCUGAUGGAGCGACACCGCGUGAAGGAAGAAGGCCUAACGGUUGUAAACUUCUUUUCUGAAGGAGCAUAAUGAGAGUACUUCAGGAAUAAGGAACGGCUAAUCACGUG